CCCUUAGAUGUUCUGGGCCGCACGCGCGCUACACUGACGAUGGCAACGAGUUUUUCCUUCGCCGAAAGGUGUGGGUAAUCUUUUGAAACAUCGUCGUGCUGGGGAUAGAUCAUUGCAAUUUUUGAUCUUGAACGAGGAAUUCCUAGUAAGCGCGAGUCAUCAGCUCGCGUUGAUUACGUCCCUGCCCUUUGUACACACCGCCCGUCGCUACUACCGAUUGAAUGGUUUAGUGAGGACUCCUGAUUGGCGCCGCCGCCCCGGCAACGGAGCAGCGGACUGCCGAAAAGUUGCUCAAACUUGAUCAUUUAGAGGAAGUAAAAGUCGUAACA
RNAcentral lists this ribosomal RNA (329 nucleotides) under uncultured eukaryote. RNAcentral describes it as "partial 18S ribosomal RNA". It matches the Rfam family "Eukaryotic small subunit ribosomal RNA", at positions 1470 to 1796 of the family's 1831-position model. The record is from RNAcentral.